CCUACGGGAGGCAGCAGUGAGGAAUAUUGGUCAAUGGACGCAAGUCUGAACCAGCCAAGCCGCGUGCAGGAAGACGGCUCUAUGGGUUGUAAACUGCUUUUGUAAGAGGGUAAACGGAGAUACGCGUACCUGUCUGAAAGUAUCGUACGAAUAAGGAUCGGCUAACUCCGUGCCAGCAGCCGCGGUAAUACGGAGGAUUCGAGCGUUAUCCGGAUUUAUUGGGUUUAAAGGGAGCGUAGGCGGUCGGAUAAGUUAGUGGUGAAAGCCCGCGGCUCAACCUCGGAAUUGCCUCUGAUACUGUCCGGCUAGAGCGUAGUUGCGGUAGGCGGAAUUUAUGGUGUAGCGGUG
This 348-nucleotide ribosomal RNA is filed under the name uncultured bacterium. Its description in RNAcentral is "partial 16S ribosomal RNA". It matches the Rfam family "Bacterial small subunit ribosomal RNA", at positions 338 to 683 of the family's 1533-position model. The record is from RNAcentral.